Sus scrofa (pig) is the source of this 1884-nucleotide non-coding RNA. NCBI's taxonomy places the organism in Eukaryota, Metazoa, Chordata, Mammalia, Artiodactyla, Suidae. The record is from RefSeq and is a predicted model, not a curated record.
CGUAGGCCAGUGGCUACAGCUCUGAUUAGACCCCUAGCCUGGGAACCUCCAUAUGCUGCGGGUGCAGCCCUGAAAAGAUGAAAAAAAUGACAGAGUUUAGCAGACAGGGGAAUAUCUUCAACAAUGAAUGAAAUGAGAACCAUGAAAAAAAAUUGAGCUUAGGAAAGGGUUGUGUCUCUUAAAAAUACACCACUUGUCAUAGCAGGAAAAUGUUGAUCUCUGAAUGCCUCUUUGCAGGUGUGUGCUCUGGAAGAAUAUCGGCCAGGCUAAGUGGCAGAGGAGCAGAGCCAAAAGAAUCGGGUUAACACAGAGGCCUGCUGUGGCAUCACAGUUUGACCUUGGAGGAAACUUUGGGGCAGAAUGGCUUUCCCACUCAGGGAAAAAGCUCCAGUGUCUAAAAAGGCAAUGAUUCUGUUGAGGACUGGCUCUGUAAUUUGCCAAAAUCUACACAAUUUAUUCAGGACUGGCGACAUAAUUUGCACAUCACUUUAUAUUUUAAAAUACUUAAAAUAUUACCCCAAGCACUGGUGCCAAUUAGAAGAGGGGCCCCUGCUGGACUUCGGGGGAGCCUUGGGAUUCUCACACAAUCCAGUUUGAAAACCAUUUAUCCCCUAAUUUUGCAUGAAAGGAAACUAAGGCCUAGAGAAACAAUUUACCUGUAAUUAGAACAAGUUAUUGAUAGAUGAAAUUGAUAUAAGAAUGAACAUUUAUGUCCAUCCAGUUACUAAGAGCCAACUAAAAACCUUCCACUUUUGGUUUCUCUAUAUCUAAAAGGGGGAUUAAAAUAAUACCUACCUCAUUGGCCGUGGUGUAAGGAUUGCCCAAGAAAAUGAUCUCAUCUAGUCUCUUGACUGUAAAUGACUUGUACAUCGCUUACUCCGGAGUGUGUUCCUACAGCCUAAACGUGAACUUGAACUGAACAGAAUUGAAUAUCGAACUCCUUGCUUAACAUUUCCCCUUGAAAGCCAGAUAGCCACCUCCAACGUAACAUGUUCAAAACUGAGCCCCCCGUCUUCCCACUCAAGCCUCCCCCACCCUCUGUGCCACGUCAGUGAUGGCACCCACGCUUUCUGUUGGUCUGGCCAAAACCCUGGGACUGUCCAUGCCUUCUGUCUUUCUCUCACAUUCCACAUCCAAGACCUGAGAAGAGACUCUGGGCUUUGCCUUCAAAAUACAUGCAGAAUCCCACCUUUUCUCUCCACUGCUACCAUCCUGGUCCAGUGCUGACUGGUCUCCCUUCUUUUCCUUUUUGCCCCCUUUCAUUCUGGUCUCACCAAAGCGCCUGAGGGACAUGUUAAAACACAGGCCAGCACCUGUCACGCCUCUCCUCAGUACCUCCCGGGGCGCCAGGGUUCUCUCCGAGUAAAGCCAAGGUCCUAAGCAUGGCCUUCAGGUCCUGUGUGAUACGGCUGUUGUCUCCUGACUCUUCCCCCCACCCUCUCCCUUGCCACACGGCUCCCACUCUAGAGGCUUCUGUAUGGUUCCCCGAAUGCUUCCUCCAGGCUCCAUCAAGGCUGCUCCUUCACCUCCUUCAGUCUUUGCCCAAAUAUCACCAUCUCAGGGAAACCUAAAUCCUGUCUUCCCUUUCUCAAACUGCGCAGUCACCACAAACUUCCUUUUCUCUUUUUCUGCUUUAUUUUCCUCCAUAGUGAAACAUGAUAGAAUUUAUUUUGCUUAUUUCCUGUAUUGUCUCUCCUCACGAUCUAGAAUCUAAGUGCCAUGAGGAUGCGGCUGAUUCCUCAAGUAUGGAUCAGUACUUAUCUCCGGAGCCUGGAAAAGUGUCUAACACUGAGUAAGCUUUCAAUAAAUAUUUUUUGAAUGAAUCAUGUGCAUAAUGCUUUUUACAGCACAGAAUGUGCUUAUUAAAUAUUGUGAAUGUCUGUA